Molecule: ribosomal RNA, 678 nt
Filed under: uncultured bacterium
Lineage: Bacteria
Description: partial 16S ribosomal RNA
Rfam family: Bacterial small subunit ribosomal RNA
Source: RNAcentral
AGAUGCUGGCGACCGGCAAACGGGUGCGGAACACGUACGCAACCUUCCUUYAAGUGGGGRAUAGCCCGGGGAAACCCGGAUUAAUACCCCGUAAUAUURUGARRUGGCAUCAYYUUAUAAUUAUAGCWCMRGCGCUURWAGAUGGGCGUGCGCCUGAUUAGGUAGUUGGCGGGGUAAYGGCCCACCAAGCCUACGAUCAGUAACUGGUGUGAGAGCACGACCAGUCACACGGGCACUGAGACACGGGCCCGACUCCUACGGGAGGCAGCAGUAAGGAAUAUUGGUCAAUGGACGCAAGUCUGAACCAGCCAUGCCGCGUGGAGGAUGAAGGUCCUCUGGAUUGUAAACUUCUUUUAUCUGAGAAGAAACCCGGAAAUUCUUUUCCGGCUGACGGUACCAGAUGAAUAAGCACCGGCUAACUCCGUGCCAGCAGCCGCGGUAAUACGGAGGGUGCAAGCGUUAUCCGGAUUCACUGGGUUUAAAGGGUGCGUAGGUGGAUYGGUAAGUCCGUGGUGAAAUCCCCGAGCUUAACUCGGGAACUGCCGUGGAUACUAUCRAUCUUGAAUACUGUGGAGGUAAGCGGAAUAUGUCAUGUAGCGGUGAAAUGCUUAGAUAUGACAUAGAACACCGAUNGCGGAGGCAGCUUGCUACACAGUCAUUGACACUGAGGCACGAAAG